GUGCCAGCAGCCGCGGUAAGACGAACCGUCCAAACGUUAUUCGGAAUCACUGGGCUUACAGAGUUCGUAGGCGGUCCCAAAAGUUAGGUGUGAAAUCCCUCGGCUCAACCGAGGAACUGCGCUUAAAACUGUGGGACUCGAGGGAGAUAGAGGAAAGCGGAACUGAUGGUGGAGCGGUGAAAUGCGUUGAUAUCAUCAGGAACACCGGUGGCGAAGGCGGCUUUCUGGGUCUUACCUGACGCUGAGGAACGAAAGCUAGGGGAGCGAACGGGAUUAGAUACCCUCGUAGUCC
RNAcentral lists this ribosomal RNA (292 nucleotides) under uncultured bacterium. RNAcentral describes it as "partial 16S ribosomal RNA". It matches the Rfam family "Bacterial small subunit ribosomal RNA", at positions 505 to 796 of the family's 1533-position model. The record is from RNAcentral.